AAACGAUUUAAUUAACCGAUCAAAUUGUUGUCUUGCAAAUAUCGAAGUCCUUAGGAAACCUCUCAAAUCUUUUUAGUAAAGAUUUUGAAAGGAAACGAGCCAUAAUGUGUAAUGAUAGGCGAGUUGCUCAAGAACCGAACUACAACGAAUAAAUCAGUUUCACCCGAAAUUAGAACUCUUCAAGGAAUCUGACUCGCAGGAGCAGCUCCUUUGAAGGAGCCAUGUUACUCAGAGUAUACGGAUGGUCGCGGAGAGACCGGAGGUUUCUUCAUCGGACUUCAAAAAUGUAUUCUGAUUUUAAUUGGCAUUAACAAAUAAAUUAUAUAAGAACAAACAUCUGAGGGUAAAAUCACCAGAAAAAACAGCCUUUCACGUGGACAUUAGCAGUUGAAUGUUUUUUUUAUUAUUUAAAUUUCGAUUUAAAUUGUAGUUUUAAUACUUGAUACAUAAUUGAUUUUUGAACAGCUCUCCACUUUUUAGUAUGCCUUGUUACUUUUCAAAAUUCUUUACUGAACAGUUUUGUUAGUUAUUAGUAUAGUACAUCCGAUAAUUACAGAACACCAACAGGACUUUUAAUAGACUAAUUUACAUAUUUGGUUGUAUUAUCUGAGUUUCUAGAUUCUUAAGUUUUGGAUCUUUCUUUGUUUUGUAAUUUCAAAUGAUCUAUUCUGCAAGUCCGAAUACCUAAUCUGAGCUCCCAAAUGUUUAUAAUGUACUUUUUUUUGAUACUGAGAGGUUUUGACCUCUCGGCCAUUUUGAUGUCUUUCAUCUAACAGAGCCCCUGAUCAGGGGUUUUACGAUUGGAUAACAGACAGCUGCGCAUUCGUCUUUCAUCUCGUUUUGUAAGGCAGCAGGAUUCUUGGACGGAGCCGAAAGAUUCAGAAAUCUAAUAAACGAAGACCACCGAAAGAAUUAUUUCUUACAUAUUGCGUUUAAAUGAAACUUUUGUGUUCAAGAACCACUAGAAGAAUGUUAACUGAUGCUUCAAAAAAACUUAAGAUCCGCCUCAAAGUGGAUUAGAACUUUAAUUUUAGUAAUUUACAUUCCAAAAUGUAGGAAAUCAUUUAUAAUUUGUAUAUCAUUGCAGAGCAUAUUUUGUAAUCCUAGUAAAAGUAAAUUAUUACAAUAUUUUAAGGAUUUUAAAGAUGGUACAAUAUGCUCAACAACUUAACAUUUAAAUCAAAUUUUCCGCCAAUUUAAACUGUAUUUGGAACUGGUUCAUCGGGCUUGGAACCAAAAUGCAAUGAGUUUGAAACUUUGAAAAAUGUUUCAGUAUGAGGACUUAAAUAAGUUAAAUAUGAAAAAAAAAGUUAAUUUCAAAGAAUUUUUUAGCAUUUUGUGCUUGUAAAAAGUAAAUGUUUUUAUGUACUUAGGUAUGUUAAGGUGGAUAUUGUUAAAAAUAUAUUCUGGCAUUUAAUUAUAAAAAGCAAUCAAAUGGAA
Drosophila bipectinata is the source of this 1440-nucleotide long non-coding RNA. RefSeq lists it as uncharacterized. NCBI's taxonomy places the organism in Eukaryota, Metazoa, Arthropoda, Insecta, Diptera, Drosophilidae. The record is from RefSeq and is a predicted model, not a curated record.